UAAUGCUUCUGGAAUGAUUCAUAAAUUGUAUCAUUGUGAUCUCCAGCUCACAUUCCUUAUCUUUUUUACUACUGUUUGUUAUGAGUGAAUUGUAAGCACUCUUACUCUGUGCUAGAUUUGAUUUAAAAGCUAUAUUCUUAGUACAAUAUGUAAUAGAUAUAAUUCAAAUAAUAUUAAUAAAUCUUUCACAUUUAUUUUGUUUUUACCAGAAACUAAUUUCAUUGCAAGUACUAUAUAUAUAAUUAAUAAUCUUUACUCAGGAAAGAAUUAAUUACACAUAUUUGUGCCAUUGAUAUGGCUAUAAGACUAAAUUAAAAGAGUGAAAAAAAAUAUAGAACAUGUUUGGGUAUUAUUUAGGAAUUAUUAGUAUAAAAUAUAUGUAAUUAUCAUCUAAUAUAUUUCAGUGAUAGUUAAUUAAAUCAGUUUAUAUAAUGAGUUUUGAGAAAACUACCAUUUGUGUUUGUGAAAUUAAAGGAGGGUUAUCUAUAUAUAUGUAAGUAUACAACACUAGUUCAAUCUUUCUUCAUAAAUAUAUUUAAAACAGGAACAUUUAAGUUAAUUUUAGUAUUUAUCUUUUAUUUAAGAUUAUUCUCAAUUGAAAACAUAUCUAUUUAUCCUUCUUCUUUGAAUUAGAA
This 635-nucleotide unclassified non-coding RNA is filed under the name Hevea brasiliensis (rubber tree). The record is from RNAcentral. Lineage: Eukaryota; Viridiplantae; Streptophyta; Magnoliopsida; Malpighiales; Euphorbiaceae.